RNAcentral lists this ribosomal RNA (497 nucleotides) under uncultured bacterium. RNAcentral's name for it is "partial 16S ribosomal RNA". It matches the Rfam family "Bacterial small subunit ribosomal RNA", at positions 28 to 507 of the family's 1533-position model. The record is from RNAcentral.
GAUGAACGCUGGCGGCGUGCCUAAUACAUGCAAGUCGAGCGAACGGACGAGAAGCUUGCUUUUCUGAUGUUAGCGGCGGACGGGUGAGUAACACGUGGAUAACCUACCUAUAAGACUGGGAUAACUUCGGGAAACCGGAGCUAAUACCGGAUAAUAUUUUGAACCGCAUGGUUCAAAAGUGAAAGACGGUCUUGCUGUCACUUAUAGAUGGAUCCGCGCUGCAUUAGCUAGUUGGUAAGGUAACGGCUUACCAAGGCAACGAUGCAUAGCCGACCUGAGAGGGUGACUCGCCCCCCUGGGAAUUGGGCCCCGUCCCAGCCCCCCAGGGGAGGAGGAAGUGGGAAUCCUUCGGAAUUGGCCGAAACCUUACGGAACAACCCCGGCUGGGUUAUUGAGGUUUUCCGGUCCGUAAACCUUUGUAUUAGGGAAGAACAUAUGUGUAAGUAACUGUGCACAUCUUGACGGUACCUAAUCAGAAAGCCACGGCUAACUACGUG